This 229-nucleotide unclassified non-coding RNA is filed under the name air metagenome. RNAcentral's name for it is "partial contains small subunit ribosomal RNA, internal transcribed spacer 1, and 5.8S ribosomal RNA". The stretch from base 1 to 46 matches the Rfam family "Eukaryotic small subunit ribosomal RNA", at positions 1786 to 1831 of the family's 1831-position model. The record is from RNAcentral.
AAGUCGUAACAAGGUUUCCGUAGGUGAACCUGCGGAAGGAUCACUAGAGAGAACCUGCCCUUUGGGUAGAUCUCCCACCCUUUGUUUGUUAUACACUGUUGCUUUGGCGGGCCUGCCUCGGCUGCCGGCGCAAGCUGGCUCGCGCCCGCCAGAGACCAAAACUCUGAAUGUUGUCGUCUGAGAAAUAUAUAAUAAGUUAAAACUUUCAACAACGGAUCUCUUGGUUCUG